AUGAACGCUGGCGGCGUGCCUAAUACAUGCAAGUCGAGCGAACGGACGAGAAGCUUGCUUCUCUGAUGUUAGCGGCGGACGGGUGAGUAACACGUGGAUAACCUACCUAUAAGACUGGGAUAACUUCGGGAAACCGGAGCUAAUACCGGAUAAUAUUUUGAACCGCAUGGUUCAAAAGUGAAAGACGGUCUUGCUGUCACUUAUAGAUGGAUCCGCGCUGCAUUAGCUAGUUGGUAAGGUAACGGCUUAUCAAGGCAACGAUGCAUAGCCGACCUGAGAGGGUGAUCGGCCACACUGGAACUGAGACACGGUCCAGACUCCUACGGGAGGCAGCAGUAGGGAAUCUUCCGCAAUGGGCGAAAGCCUGACGGAGCAACGCCGCGUGAGUGAUGAAGGUCUUCGGAUCGUAAAACUCUGUUAUUAGGGAAGAACAUAUGUGUAAGUAACUGUGCACAUCUUGACGGUACCUAAUCAGAAAGCCACGGCUAACUACGUG
Molecule: ribosomal RNA, 496 nt
Filed under: uncultured bacterium
Lineage: Bacteria
Description: partial 16S ribosomal RNA
Rfam family: Bacterial small subunit ribosomal RNA
Source: RNAcentral